GAUGAACGCUGGCGGCGUGCUUAACACAUGCAAGUCGAACGAUGAAGCCCAGCUUGCUGGGUGGAUUAGUGGCGAACGGGUGAGUAACACGUGAGUAACCUGCCCUUAACUCUGGGAUAAGCCUGGGAAACUGGGUCUAAUACCGGAUAGGAGCGUCCACCGCAUGGUGGGUGUUGGAAAGAUUUAUCGGUUUUGGAUGGACUCGCGGCCUAUCAGCUUGUUGGUGAGGUAAUGGCUUACCAAGGCGACGACGGGUAGCCGGCCUGAGAGGGUGACCGGCCACACUGGGACUGAGACACGGCCCAGACUCCUACGGGAGGCAGCAGUGGGGAAUAUUGCACAAUGGGCGCAAGCCUGAUGCAGCGACGCCGCGUGAGGGAUGACGGCCUUCGGGUUGUAAACCUCUUUCAGUAGGGAAGAAGCGAAAGUGACGGUACCUGCAGAAGAAGCACCGGCUAACUACGUG
RNAcentral lists this ribosomal RNA (466 nucleotides) under uncultured bacterium. Its description in RNAcentral is "partial 16S ribosomal RNA". It matches the Rfam family "Bacterial small subunit ribosomal RNA", at positions 28 to 507 of the family's 1533-position model. The record is from RNAcentral.